GCUGAAUUAGCUUAGUGGUAGAGCAUGGCGUUGUGGCCGCCAAGAUGCGAGUUCGAUUCUCGCAUUCAGCA
This is a transfer RNA of 71 nucleotides. It matches the Rfam family "tRNA". Rfam says of the family: Transfer RNA (tRNA) molecules are approximately 80 nucleotides in length. Their secondary structure includes four short double-helical elements and three loops (D, anti-codon, and T loops). The record is from Rfam.